This 1016-nucleotide long non-coding RNA is filed under the name Gossypium raimondii (Peruvian cotton). RNAcentral's name for it is "long non-coding RNA (GRAI_LNC011027)". Lineage: Eukaryota; Viridiplantae; Streptophyta; Magnoliopsida; Malvales; Malvaceae. The record is from RNAcentral.
AUGAGGGGAAAAUAAAAGAGACAGAGGAAGAAUGGAUCUUCAGAUGAAAAGAAAGAUAUGUGGAGUUUACUUGUAAUAUGAUGGAGGUGGUGGUGACUUAUACAUAUAUGGGGGUGGAGAUUCAUACUUGUAUGGAGGAGGUGGUGGUGACUUGUACACAUAUGGAGGUGGAGGUGGUGACUUGUACACAUAUGGGGGUGGAGGUGGUGACUUGUACUCGUAUGGAGGAGGUGGUGGUGACUCGUACUUGUAUGGAGGGGGAGGUGGUGACUCAUACUUGUAUGGAGGAGGUGGUGGUGACUUGUACACGUAUGGGGGUGGAGGUGGAGACUCAUACUUGUAUGGAGGUGGAGGUGGUGAUUUGUACACAUAAGGAGGAGGAGGUGGUGACUCAUACUUGUAUGGAGGAGGUGGUGGUGACUUGUACACAUAUGGGGGUGGAGGUGGUGACUUGUACUUGUAUGGAGGAGGAGAUGGUGACUCAUACUUGUAUGGAGGUGGAGGUGGUGACUCAUACUUGUAUGGAGGAGGUGGUGGUGACUUGUACACGUAUGGGGGUGGAGGUGGAGACUCAUACUUGUAUGAAGGUGGAGGUGGUGAUUUGUACACAUAAGGAGGAGGAGGUGGUGACUCAUACUUGUAUGGAGGAGGUGGUGGUGACUUGUACUUGUAUGGAGGAGGUGGUGGUGACUCAUACUUGUAUGGAGGAGGUGGUGGUGACUUGUACACGUAUGGAGGUGGAGGUGGAGACUCAUACUUGUAUGGAGGAGGUGGUGGUGACUUAUACACAUAUGGGGGAGGAGGUGGCGACUCAUACUUGUAUGGAGGAGGUGGUGGCGAGUUGUACAUGUACGGGGGUGGAGGCGGAGACUUAUACUUAUAUGGAGGAGGUGGUGGUGACUUGUACAUAUAUGGAGGUGGAGGUGGUGACUCGUGCUUAUAUGACAGAGGUGGUAAUGACUUGUACGUAUAUGGAGGUGGAGGUGAUGACUCGUACUUAUAUGGCGGAAGCAAUG